Long non-coding RNA from Pan troglodytes (chimpanzee), 3915 nucleotides. RefSeq lists it as uncharacterized. NCBI's taxonomy places the organism in Eukaryota, Metazoa, Chordata, Mammalia, Primates, Hominidae. The record is from RefSeq and is a predicted model, not a curated record. The transcript has 2 exons.
UGGGCCCGCCCGGGCAGACUCCGGCCCCUGUCGCCGGCGGUGGAGGCGGGGCUCCGGGCCGGGCUGUGCGGAGGCCGGCGAGGUGGUAGCACAGGAGGGAUUCGCAGGCUCUGCGGCCGUGCGUGGCGGGGCAUGGGGGCCCGCAGGGCGGAAGUAGCUCGGAGAGACGGGCUGGGGCAGGGCGUGCGUUCGUGCGGUUAAAAUCCACUGGUGGCGUUUGGGGUGUUCCCGUGGACGCGGCCUCCCGGCAGGCGGACCUCCACCGGGUGGGCGCGGCAGGCGGGCUGUGCGGGCAGGAAGAGCGACGAGCUUGAGAGUGGGAGAUGGGGUGCAACGGCGGGCCUCUCCGGGGAGGUGACACUGCCGCUGAGACCCAAAUGGAAGGGCGCGCCCGGCGGGGGAACAGCAGGCGCCGAGGUUCGCUGGAAGCAGGGAAGGGAGGCCCGGGUACCGGCUCGGAGGCCCGCGCGAGCUUCGCGGCAGCGGCACGGAGCGUGUGAACGGCGCAGCGCCGAGGCUUCAUCCAUCGGCCCGUGCAGGGUUCGGGCAGGGAGCACUGUCGACCAGGGUCCGACCCUGGGAGAGUCCAGAGGUGGCGCCUCUGGCAGGGACAGAGGAGGGGGUGACGCUGUAGGGGUGCAGGCAGUAGGCUCCGCGUCAACGCCCCACACUGACAGGGCGGAUUUUUUUUUUUUUUUUUUUUUUUUUGACAGAGUCUCGCACUGUUGCCCAGGCUGGAGUGCAGCGGCGCGAUCUCGGCUCACUGCAACCUCCGCCUCCCGGGUUCAAGCGAUUCUCCUGCCUCAGCCUCCCGAGUAGCUGGGAUUACAGGCGCACACUACCACACCCGGCUAAUUUUUUUGUAUUUUUAUGGUAGAGACGGGGUUUCACUAUGUUGGCCAGACUGGUCGAGAACUCCUGACCUCGUGAUCCGCUCCUAGGUUCGCCUUGGCCUCCCAAAGUGCUCGCUCCUAGGCGUCCCAAAGUGCUGGGAUUACAGGCGUGAGCCACCGCCCCCAGCCGAGGGCGGGUUUUGUUCUCUGCUGUGCCUGUCAGGCAGUCGUUGCCCUGUGGUUAUUUGUGGAGGGAUUGACGGUGCGCUGAGCUUCAGACUUUGUCUGAACAGCUUCGUGGCAGCAAGGAAGGGAGAAGGGAACAGAUCCAAGCCGAUCUUUGGGAGGAGAGAACCAGCAUGACUUGGAGACUUUAGAUGUCAGAGCAAAGGACAGAGUGCAGCUUGGUGACCCGGAGUGGGUGGGUGGGUGAAUGGAUGGAUAGAUAGUGGGGGUGUGGUCUGCCAUCACUGCCCUCUUCCCUGUGUGGGAAGCCAGCUCUUGGUGACUUCCUGCCCAGACCCACUCCCUCUGGCUCUGUCCGAGGGUGUCAGGUGUGCCCUUGACCCUUCACCCUGGGCUAAGGGAUGUCCAAGGAGUUGGGGACAAAGGCAGCUAGGAGGAGGAGCUACCUCCCGAGUCUGCUGCAGUAAGUCACCAGUGUGUUCCUGUGGGUGGAGGCUGGCAGGCCCAUCAGUCUGGUUUGGGUACCCCCGUUGGAUUUGGGUUUGAUGACAUGUAAAGUGAGUUAGAUUCUCUGCAUUACUGUCACACCUGCUGUGCCCAGGCAUGGAAGGUUAAGUGGAACAGAGGGGCCGCCCCCCUGCUGAAGGGGCCCCAGAGUCGGCGCUAGGGGAGGGGGCAGCCUCGGUGGUCCAGGCAGGCACAGGCGGAAUUCUCUGAGGUGGCAUUGGAGUCCAUUGGUCAGAGGUGCUAAAGGGCCCCAAACCUAGAGCCCAUGCCCAGGGCCCCACUGACACCUGGUGCGCAGGGGCAGCCUGGUGACCCCACAUGACACGGGUGGGCGUGACACAGCACCAGCUGGGCCGACAGCCCUCCCCCUGCUGGUUUUUAAUGCUCUGCAGUAAUGUCAUUUCGCCUGCGAAUAAGCUUUCACACAUUUUAUAUUAAAUCUACGAGUAUGAUUUAUUCAGGCACUUACGAAUUUAAUCAAAUUUGUUUCUAAAUAUUACUGAUUUUUGUUAUCAAAUGUGCCAUCAGCUGUUGAGCUUUGAGAAUUGAGCAUCCUGGCUUUUGCCAUUUUGAGGAUCAGCAGAAGCAUGUCUGGAAGAAAUGUGAGAAAAUAAAACUCAGGAGCCUACCCCCACCCUGCCCUUCCGGGAGCUCAGCCCCAGAGCCAGGCUGCUAAGGCCAUGGAGGCUGAGGGCAGUGGAGCUGGGGUUUCUGGAGCCUCAGGGGCCCUGGUUUGCUGGAAGGGCAGGCAGGGCUUCGUGGAGGGCAUUAGGCAGUGGCCAGAGCCCUGCAGUGCUGGGCAUGGGCUUCUCGUGGGCUCUGGCCACGGCCCUGAGCUCCUCCCCUUACCUUCCCAGAGCUGAGGGUCACCUGCUGAGCUGGGCACUGGCUUCUCGUGGGCUCUGGCCACGGCCCUGAGCUCCUCCCCUUGCCUUCCCAGAGCGGAGGGUCACCUGCUGACAGUUUGGGGUGGCUCUGUCUUUGAGAGCGUGCCCUCAUGAAGGCAGAAUGUCCUCCCUGCCUCCAUCCUCUGUGGCCCAGUGGCUCCUGCAGUGCCUGCCCUCAGAGGCUGGUGGCCUGGGACACAGGGUUGGGGAUGGGCUUGGUGGUGCUGCAGGUCACGGUGGGUCAUGAAGGAGCUUUGGGGGUGUUGCAUUCUCUGGUAAAGCACAGCAAGGGAGCCCUUUUACCCACUACUAAAACCUGGCUCUGCACUGAGGCCAUGCGCAGCCCAGUCAGGUGGACGAGGGGGUGACGACUGGACCUCGGGGAGGCAUCAGAGGAGGAGCUGCUGAGAGGCGGGUCACCACAGCCUGGCGCCUGUCUGGAGAGGGUGGGGCUUGGGGAGGUGCUGGCCAGGUCCAUAGGGGUGGCCAGGCUGGGUCUGAAAGGGCCUUGUGCUGGUGUGGGGUGAGCUUGGUCUGUUGGGAGAAUAUGGAGUUCAUUGAGGCCUCCCUGGCUCCAGGUUUGCAUGUCUGAGGAGUGGGUAUCAUCAGGGCCUGGGGCCUCUCCAGCGGGCAUAUCUGGACUCUCCCAGGGUUGGGAGCCUGUGCUCAUCACAAGCUCAAAGCACUCCAUUUCUGCUACCAUGAAGUCAAGGAUGGUGACUGUGAGCCGCCUGGGACCUGAGCUGCCUGGGACUGUGACUGAGGCACCUGGGGUGCCUCUUAGGGCCUUGGGUUUGGGCCCAUGGCUAGAUGAGCCUUGGUGAUUCUGUGGUAUUGCCUGGGCCAGGUGGACCCAGGGGCAGCUGCGGCUGGUCCAUGUGGAGCUCCUUCAAGCCGAAGCAUCUGACACCAGUGUCUGUGAGGUGUGGGCCCGGCCCCUGGAGCGGGGCCUGGGCAGCCCCGUGUGAUGAGGAAGGAAGGCAGGGCCCCCGCUCCCCGGGCCUGACCCCACUGCUUCAGCCCCCUCCUGCCUGCCUACAGCCUGGCCUCGAGGGCCCAUCAGAUGGAGUCUCACUCUGUCGCCCAGACUGGAGUGCAAUGGCGUGAUCUCGGCUCACUGCAAGCUCCGCCUUCCCGGUUCAUGCCAUUCUCUUGCCUCAGCCUCCUGAGUAGCUGGGACUACAGGUGCCCACCACCACACCUGGUUAAUUUUUUUGUAUUUUUAGUAGAGACGGGGUUUCACCGUGUUAGCCAGGAUGGUCUUGAUUUUUCGACUUCAUGAUCUGCCUGCCUCGGCCUCCCAAAGUGCUGGGAUUACAGGCGUGAGCCACCGCGCCCGGCCAAGCACUUCCUUGAACACAGAGAUGACCAUGAGGAGGGAGGCGUGAACCAGGAUGACGGGGCAGCAGAUGGAGCCUGCCUCCCUGAGACCUCAGGUGACAGAGCCCUGUACUGCCUCUUCCUCCCUACAUGGCUGAGAAAUAAACUUCUUUUUCAAACCA